CCUACGGGUGGCUGCAGUGGGGAAUAUUGGACAAUGGGGGGAACCCUGAUCCAGCGAUGCCGCGUGUGCGAAGAAGGCCUGCGGGUUGUAAAGCACUUUAGACGGGGAAGCGUUACCCGAGGAAUAAGCACCGGCUAACUCUGUGCCAGCAGCCGCGGUAAUACAGAGGGUGCAAGCGUUAAUCGGAAUGACUGGGCGUAAAGGGCGCGUAGGCGGCCAAUUAAGUUAUAUGUGAAAUGCCUGGGCUUAACCUGGGAUCGGCAUAUAAGACUGGUAGGCUAGAGUAGAGUAGAGGGAAGUGGAAUUUCCGGAGUAGCGGUGAAAUGCGUAGAUAUCGGAAAGAACACCGGUGGCGAAGGCGGCUUCCUGGACUCUCUGACGCUGAGGCGCGAAAGCGUGGGUAGCAAACAGGAUUAGAUACCCUUGUAGUC
RNAcentral lists this ribosomal RNA (431 nucleotides) under uncultured bacterium. Its description in RNAcentral is "partial 16S ribosomal RNA". It matches the Rfam family "Bacterial small subunit ribosomal RNA", at positions 338 to 795 of the family's 1533-position model. The record is from RNAcentral.